GGAGUUAGCCGGUGCUUCUUCUGCGAGUAACGUCACAGAUGUAAGGUAUUAACUUACACCCUUUCCUCCUCGCUGAAAGUGCUUUACAACCCGAAGGCCUUCUUCACACACGCGGCAUGGCUGCAUCAGGGUUUCCCCCAUUGUGCAAUAUUCCCCACUGCUGCCUCCCGUAGGAGUCUGGGCCGUGUCUCAGUCCCAGUGUGGCUGAUCAUCCUCUCAGACCAGCUAGGGAUCGUCGCCUAGGUGAGCCUUUACCUCACCUACUAGCUAAUCCCACCUGGGCUUAUCCAUCAGCGCAAGGCCCGAAGGUCCCCUGCUUUCCCCCGUAGGGCGUAUGCGGUAUUAGCAGUCGUUUCCAACUGUUAUCCCCCACAAAUGGGCAAAUUCCCAGGCAUUACUCACCCGUCCGCCGCUCGUCAUCUUCAAAAGCAAGCUUUUGAAAUGUUACCGCUCGACUUGCAUGUGUUAGGCCUGCCGCCAGCGUCAUCUGAGCAGAAUACAACUACUGA
RNAcentral lists this ribosomal RNA (509 nucleotides) under uncultured bacterium. RNAcentral describes it as "partial 16S ribosomal RNA". The record is from RNAcentral.